GGGGUGGAUUAGUGGCGAACGGGUGAGUAACACGUGGGCAAUCUGCCCUUCACUCUGGGACAAGCCCUGGAAACGGGGUCUAAUACCGGAUAACACUCUGUCCCGCAUGGGACGGGGUUAAAAGCUCCGGCGGUGAAGGAUGAGCCCGCGGCCUAUCAGCUUGUUGGUGGGGUAAUGGCCUACCAAGGCGACGACGGGUAGCCGGCCUGAGAGGGCGACCGGCCACACUGGGACUGAGACACGGCCCAGACUCCUACGGGAGGCAGCAGUGGGGAAUAUUGCACAAUGGGCGAAAGCCUGAUGCAGCGACGCCGCGUGAGGGAUGACGGCCUUCGGGUUGUAAACCUCUUUCAGCAGGGAAGAAGCGAAAGUGACGGUACCUGCAGAAGAAGCGCCGGCUAACUACGUGCCAGCAGCCGCGGUAAUACGUAGGGCGCAAGCGUUGUCCGGAAUUAUUGGGCGUAAAGAGCUCGUAGGCGGCUUGUCACGUCGGAUGUGAAAGCCCGGGGCUUAACCCCGGGUCUGCAUUCGAUACGGGCUAGCUAGAGUGUGGUAGGGGAGAUCGGAAUUCCUGGUGUAGCGGUGAAAUGCGCAGAUAUCAGGAGGAACACCGGUGGCGAAGGCGGAUCUCUGGGCCAUUACUGACGCUGAGGAGCGAAAGCGUGGGGAGCGAACAGGAUUAGAUACCCUGGUAGUCCACGCCGUAAACGUUGGGAACUAGGUGUUGGCGACAUUCCACGUCGUCGGUGCCGCAGCUAACGCAUUAAGUUCCCCGCCUGGGGAGUACGGCCGCAAGGCUAAAACUCAAAGGAAUU
Molecule: ribosomal RNA, 815 nt
Filed under: Streptomyces sp. M55-1N
Lineage: Bacteria; Bacillati; Actinomycetota; Actinomycetes; Kitasatosporales; Streptomycetaceae
Description: bacterial SSU rRNA
Rfam family: Bacterial small subunit ribosomal RNA
Source: RNAcentral